AGAGUUUGAUCCUGGCUCAGGAUGAACGCUAGCGGCAGGCUAAUACAUGCAAGUCGAACGAUACCCAGGGAGCUUGCUCUCUGGGAAAGUGGCGCACGGGUGCGUAACGCGUAUGCAACCUACCUUUAUCAGGGGGAUAGCCUCUCGAAGGAGAGAUUAACACCGCAUAAAAUCAAAGAACGGCAUCGUUUAAUGAUCAAAUAUUUAUAGGAUAAAGAUGGGCAUGCGUGACAUUAGCUAGUUGGUGAGGUAACGGCUCACCAAGGCGACGAUGUCUAGGGGAUCUGAGAGGAUGACCCCCCACACUGGUACUGAGACACGGACCAGACUCCUACGGGAGGCAGCAGUAAGGAAUACUGGUCAAUGGAGGCAACUCUGAACCAGCCAUGCCGCGUGCAGGAAGACGGCCCUAUGGGUUGUAAACUGCUUUUAUUCGGGAAUAAACCUCUUUACGUGUAGAGAGUUGAAUGUACCGAAAGAAUAAGGAUCGGCUAACUCCGUGCCAGCAGCCGCGGUAAUACGGAGGAUCCAAGCGUUAUCCGGAUUUAUUGGGUUUAAAGGGUGCGUAGGCGGCUUAUUAAGUCAGGGGUGAAAGACGGUGGCUCAACCAUCGCAGUGCCUUUGAUACUGAUGAGCUUGAAUACACUUGAGGUAGGCGGAAUGUGACAAGUAGCGGUGAAAUGCAUAGAUAUGUCACAGAACACCAAUUGCGAAGGCAGCUUACUAAGGUGCAAUUGACGCUGAGGCACGAAAGCGUGGGGAUCAAACAGGAUUAGAUACCCUGGUAGUCCACGCCCUAAACGAUGAAUACUCGAUGUUAGCGAUAUACAGUUAGCGUCUAAGCGAAAGCGUUAAGUAUUCCACCUGGGGAGUACGCCCGCAAGGGUGAAACUCAAAGGAAUUGACGG
This 908-nucleotide ribosomal RNA is filed under the name uncultured bacterium. Its description in RNAcentral is "bacterial SSU rRNA". It matches the Rfam family "Bacterial small subunit ribosomal RNA", at positions 8 to 916 of the family's 1533-position model. The record is from RNAcentral.